RNAcentral lists this ribosomal RNA (368 nucleotides) under uncultured Fusibacter sp. RNAcentral's name for it is "bacterial SSU rRNA". It matches the Rfam family "Bacterial small subunit ribosomal RNA", at positions 1013 to 1382 of the family's 1533-position model. Lineage: Bacteria; Bacillati; Bacillota; Clostridia; Eubacteriales; Fusibacteraceae. The record is from RNAcentral.
CCUUCGGGUACGAAUUGAGACAGGUGGUGCAUGGUUGUCGUCAGCUCGUGUCGUGAGAUGUUGGGUUAAGUCCCGCAACGAGCGCAACCCUUGUGUUUAGUUGCAAACAGGUCAAGCUGUGCACUCUAGACAGACUGCCGUGGACAACACGGAGGAAGGUGGGGAUGACGUCAAAUCAUCAUGCCCCUUAUGAUCUGGGCUACACACGUGCUACAAUGGCCGGUACAACGGGCAGCGAAGGAGCGAUCCGGAGCGAAUCCUAAAAAGCCGGUCCCAGUUCGGAUUGCAGGCUGAAACUCGCCUACAUGAAGUUGGAGUUGCUAGUAAUCGUGAAUCAGAAUGUCACGGUGAAUACGUUCCCGGGCCUU